AAACUUACCUGGCUGGGAGUUCCUCGCGAUCAGGAAGGCGGGGACUUCACAGUGAGGCUUGGUCAUUGCACUUCUCGGCUCAGGCUGACCUGUGUGGCUAUCCCGAGUUGGGAUCAGCCAACAGCAUAAUUUUUGCGUUUGGGGGUAUAGCGUUCGCGCUGACCCCUC
Molecule: non-coding RNA, 168 nt
Organism: Onchocerca ochengi
Lineage: Eukaryota; Metazoa; Nematoda; Chromadorea; Rhabditida; Onchocercidae
Source: Rfam